Non-coding RNA from Immersiella caudata, 104 nucleotides. The record is from the annotation of a GenBank genome assembly. NCBI's taxonomy places the organism in Eukaryota, Fungi, Ascomycota, Sordariomycetes, Sordariales, Lasiosphaeriaceae.
GCCCGGCUGGCGCAAUUGGUAGCGCGUAAGACUUCUACAACACAUCUUCUCAAUGAAGUGAUGGAAACAUCUUAAGGUCGUGGGUUCGAGCCCCACGUCGGGUG